This 221-nucleotide ribosomal RNA is filed under the name uncultured bacterium. RNAcentral's name for it is "partial 16S ribosomal RNA". It matches the Rfam family "Bacterial small subunit ribosomal RNA", at positions 129 to 334 of the family's 1533-position model. The record is from RNAcentral.
CCCUAGAGGGGGACGGAACAGUUGGAAACGACUGCUAAUACCGCAUACGAUCUAAUCUCGGCAUCGAGGAUGGAUGAAAGGUGGCCUCUAUUUAUAAGCUAUCACUGAAGGAGGGGAUUGCGUCUGAUUAGCUAGUUGGAGGGGUAACGGCCCACCAAGGCGAUGAUCAGUAGCCGGUCUGAGAGGAUGAACGGCCACAUUGGGACUGAGACACGGCCCAG